Melospiza melodia melodia is the source of this 318-nucleotide long non-coding RNA. RefSeq lists it as uncharacterized. The record is from RefSeq and is a predicted model, not a curated record. The transcript has 3 exons. Lineage: Eukaryota; Metazoa; Chordata; Aves; Passeriformes; Passerellidae.
CAUGAAGGAAAGAAUGCCUGAAGACAUAAGGGCUUUACAGUGUGGGGAGAAUCGGGGAAAGCAAAGCUGGCAAACAGAGGAUGCAGACUCUAAAAAAUGAAAAAUUAUCCAACAAAUUGAAAAACAAAUUGAAUAUCAUCACACUACUGAAGAACUGAGUCAAACAAAAAUACCUCUGAAAACAAGUACAUUUUGGGAGUGGAAUUUCAAUAGGGAAAUGCCCUCAUCUCACCUGUCUUUGGAGGACUACAUAAAAAUCCUGCUCCUGGGAAGCAACGGCAGCAGCACAGCAAAAUGUUCUACCAUGAGACAUGUUCA